UCUGAAGUUAGAUCAUAAGGAGGUUGAAGUUUCCACCUGGGUUUCUUAGAACACUCCUUCUGUGAUACUGGGACCCACCAUACCGGAGAAGCCACAGAUUUGCAUCCUGUGUGAGAGCAUCCUCACACCCCAUCUUUCCAGACAUUUCUGCCAAAGUGUCCAACACAUGAGUGAAGCCAGCGUGGACCUCCAUAGCAGCCCUCCAUCCAGCCCACCGAUUCACCUAAGUUGUUAUUUGGAGUACGUGGGCUGUAUGUUUUCUCUCUAACCUUUCUGUUGUAAAUUUCUCCAAGAAAGGAAACCAAAUAGAAUCUUGGAGAAGAUGUUCCCAGUUGGGAUGUCUUACUAACGGAAGUUGAUCCAAAAUGCACAGGGGAUGGACUGUGCUGGGUGCUGUGUCUCACCAACCAGAUUUUUACUUCUCUUGGAAAUAUGAGUGUUGAGAAGUCACGCGUGAGCCGUUUUCUGGGAAUUUCCCUGAGAUAAAAAGUACCGCCUCCUUCAAGUUUCAGACGCCUGCUCAGUGGUCACAUAUCUAAUGAUGGUGGACGCAGGAGUGUGAAGGUAGAUUGUAAAGUAGCUCUGAACCAAAGUUGAGCUACAUUCGGUCACUCGAGUAUAUUCAUCAUCUCUCUGAAUGACAACUUUAGAAAUCUUCCUAUCUCUAUCAAGUUCACCGUCCCUAUGUCGAAGAACACAGUGAAAAGUAUAAAGAGAAAAGGUAAUGAAGGUAGAAUAGCAGCGGGGGCACCGGCGUGAUGAUGUUAAGCUGUAAGAUCAUCAAUGGAAACAUGUAUCACUGCAUCUAACAGUAUAUUGCCACUGUAGUAUGUUUCCUGAGACUUCAUCCUGUCUGCUCAUGAGAAAUAACAAGCCCUGGAGAGUCACUGUGUCAAGUACCACGAAGACACAGAGGGAGCAGAACUGGCCCCAACCCACAGUUGGUAAGCAGGCAGAGCUGAGCUCAGACAUGAUUAGGCAAACUCCAGACAAUGGAGACCUGUGAGUAAAACACAAAAGUAUUGUCAUAAACCACUAAGACUCCAAGGUUGCCACACAGCAAUAACUAAUACAUGGACUCUUGACCUUUUGUUGAAUAUCCACAAUACAAAUCCACAAUAAAAUAGGCAAGUUUAUAACAAAUCAUUAUGUACAAUUUUCAUUAUUCCUAUAUGUGAAUAUGUAUAUAUAUACACACACACAUAUAUAUACAUAUAUAUACACAUAUAUAUGGAUAGUGCUUUAAGUUAUUCUUUCCUUAAAUAUCUUUAUUGU
This 1275-nucleotide long non-coding RNA is filed under the name Pan troglodytes (chimpanzee). RNAcentral's name for it is "lncRNA (ENSPTRG00000053510.1)". The record is from RNAcentral. Lineage: Eukaryota; Metazoa; Chordata; Mammalia; Primates; Hominidae.